GAAAGCAUGGUUGUAGUCAUGAAAGUGAAACUGUUUGUAGAUAAAGUAAGCCAACCAUUUUGAAGCUGCAAAUGAUAGUAUAGCCGCUGCAACGAGCGUAGUUCUUGCAGCCACAGAUAUGGCAGCUUGCUUGGUUGCAGCAACAAUUCCCACUAAAGCAAAAGCGGCAAACUGCAAUACAACUUCGAGCACUUUCAGACCUUUGUAUCCGGCACUGCAACUGCUGCAGUUUACCACAUGGGACCAGUACCUGAAAGGUGGUGCAAACACCCGUCGAUGAUGAUUCAACAAUAAGAGGAUUUUUAAGUUUUAACACUCUCCAACUUAGUUCUUAACUUCUUAUGGCCAUGACACAACCUGGCAAGGAAAAUGCUUGCAUUUCAACUAAUAAACCCAAAAUUUUCGAAUGUGUGCUGGAAAUUUCUAUCUUUUGCUGGCCUCAAGAUUUGAAGAACAAACUAAGAGAUGCUUGAAGGUGUGUUAUAACAGAUCUGGUUUCUAAAAGUUGCAGGACCACCAAAUUUUAGCAUAUUUUCAAGACCGCUAUGAUCUACUUUGAUGCCAUCAGAAUUUCCCAUAAAAACCGUUCUAAUUUUCUGAAACUAAGUAAUCAAAUUGUUGUUUGAAUCCUGCUUCAUUAAUAUGUGAAAGUUACCUGUCCAGCAACUGUUCUCUAGGAGGAGUGGGGGGAAGAGCCCCACAGAACUUGCCUCUCCAAUCUACCUGACCGCCAGCGUACUUGUUUAACCAUUUUCUGAAACCAACCACAAGGGCAUCUGACUUUGUUGGCACAAAACAUGCUUUUUGCCACUGGGCAGGGCCUGCUUCCAUUAUCUUACGUUCCUGUAUGAAGAACUCAAGACUCAGGUAAGAAUAAGUACGAUAAGAGAUUCACCAAAGACUCUUAUUCCGUGUUCAUGCAUCUGCACACUUUAACUCAAUAGAAUGUUUUUCUUAUUGUUCAGAAGAAAAGCCUCAACCGAAAAAGUAACGUCUAACACAUUCAGCAAGUGAAAAGCAAGAUAAUUUCUAAAUCUACUAUCAAGAGUUAAAAGUCACCUCAACAUGAAGAAGAUAUAAAUCGGAGUCCAGAAUCAGAUUUUGUCCAAUAUGAAACAUCCACCUCGGAACAAUCUUAUCAAUCCAAAUGCCGAAGUUUCUUGGGAAGGUCCAUAUCAACCUGCUAUUACCCGGACUAACUGGGAUACAAAUAAAAAUUAGAAGAAGUCUCCGCUGGGCUGAUGACACCUACACAAAUCACCAUACACAUAAAGAGAUGUACAAAAGGAUAAAAAGAUAAAGGAUUUGAACAGAAACAGAAUGUUCUACCUUUUUGGUUUCAGCUGAUGAUGCGGCCCCAUUACCCUGCUCAAGCGGAUCAAGUGGAGAAGCGUAGAACACACAUGGUGGCAAAAAUUUACUCCGACCCCAUUCCUGCUUUGCGAUGAAACCAUUUAUGUCUAACUUCUCAACCCUCAAAUCCAAUGGUCUACCCCCUUCUCUAUCAGCUUUCUCUGUAAAGAAAUGAACUGUAAAUCACCCUGAACCUCCUAUACAAAGUGAAAUUAACUUCAUGAAAGUGAUGCAUAAACUGGUAUUUGCCUUUGGGUUGUCUCGUUUGCAUUAUUCCAUAAUGCGCAUAUGGAACAUGAGCAGGGUCCAUAAGAUUUUCAAUCAAGACCUCGUACCUGGAAUUGCAACAAAGAUAUUAAACAAAGUUAUUAAGAGGAAAAGCUGAAAAAUGAAAAUUCAAUAUUUCAGAUCGAUACACCUAAAAGUUCUUGAACAUGAAAGACGAAAUAAGACCUGGAUGCAGAUUCACAAGGUUGCUUAUAAAGGAGCAUUAUGCCUCAGUAGAAAAAUAGUUUCAUAUCAGAGCUGGUAGAAAAAAAGUAUCUUUACAUACCCGUAAGGAAUCUCUCUGUUUCCCAUUGGACCACUAUACGAAGGAUCAUCUAGUUCAGGUAUGUAGGGAGGUUUUUUCUCUGCAAGAACAUCUUUGUAUUGAGGAUCGGAAUUUGGCCAAAACCACACAAUGCCAUUCUGCACGGUUGUUGGAUAAGCGGCUACACAUGCUUUCUUAUUCGUGUGAAUCUGCAAGUUGAAAGUGUCAUCCCUAUCAUCUUAUUUAAACUACAAACCAUGCACAGCAUAUAGUUUAUUGCCAUAGAACCACUUCUGCAGGAACAACAAGAAAAGAGUUUCGAUUCAAACUUGGAAUACUAUUACUAUAACUAAUGUUUAAAGUUCAUUAAAAUUGGUCCCUAUAGUUUCAAUUGACAUGAUUUAAUCCCUACAGCUUACGAAGGCCACAGUUCGUGUCUAGGAUUGGAUGAUAACUCACUAGAUUCUAUGAAUGCUGAAAUAAGAAAGGAACCCCAACUUCCAAGUUUUGUCAUAGUCGAGGAAUUAGAUGGAUUAAUCACGAAGGAAAUUAUCCCUUCCCGUUCUAGGCACCAAGAGUGGUGUAACUGUUGCAAUUGAAGGCCAAUGACUUUAAUUGUGUCAUUUUUUCAACAUAAUUAGUAUACAAUCGUCAUAUAAAAAGGAAAAAUUAGACUUUUUGGAGAUGUAAAACGCUAGCAUUACUGCAUGCUUUCACGCACUAAUUCCGUUGAAAAUCUAACAUAAUUAAGCCAUCGUCCUUGAACUGCAACAAUUAGUAAACUACAACAACACAAGGACGUCAAAUCAUAACAACUGAAACUACAGGAAUCAAAGUGGAAAAUUCGCAGAAACUACAGUGACCAAAAUCAUACUUUUUCAUGCAAAUCUAUGGUAUUAUUUGACAUCUCUAGCAGUCUAUCUAAUUAAUUUGUACGAAGGUUUACCAUAAUAACUAGCUGUACGUAUAUCUAUAUCUUACUUGCAUGAAGGUUUUCAGUCAAGGAUUAUUUACCGGAGGGCCAUCAGUUGGUGCUUGAGGGAUGAACUUGCAGUCGCCGGAGCCAUUAAAACACCAACCGUGAUAGACGCACUGCAACCUGCCCCACUGAUCAAUCCUCCCUUCCGACAACGGCGCCAACCUGUGCGGACAAGCAUCAUCGAACACCUUCCAAGCACUCUCGUUCCGGUCCCACCACACCACCACGUCUAUCCCCAAAACCGUCUUUCCAUGCGGGACCCUCUUAUCGAGAUCGCAAACCGGCAUCAACGGAUACCAUUGGGCGUACCAGUCGAAUUUCUCCUCCUGGGUCGGGUUUUCGAGUGAUGGGUCCGGUGGGUUUGCAGGCUCGGUCGAAACAGAGGAUUGUACGGCGGUGAAAGUCUUGAAUGCUGAUGAUGCGGUCCCUUGAAACGGUGAAAAAGAUGAAGUGGGGUGCGGGUUAAAUCCUGAGAUAGUAAAUUUUUUGGGUUGGGAUUUGUCAAAUUUGGUGGGAAAUUGCAGUGAGGGAAGAGAUGAAAUUCUCAGAGCUUCCAUGGCUGGUGCCACGAAUGGAGCUCAACGAGGUAAGAACUUGGAGGCUCAAAAGUGUAAAGCUUUGAACGUGGCAUGCAGUAAAAAGAAACUUGAGGUGCAGAUUUGGGAUGAGAAUUUUGUCGACAGAAGUGGAUAACAUGACAAGUGGUUCAAGGCUUAACUGGUCAUAAUGUUUUAGUUUGCUAUUCAAUGCAUGCCCAACCACAUAAUGUUUUGUUCCUUUUCUGUUUUUCCCUUUUUCUUUUAUUUUUUAGGUGAUGAUUUUAGGAAAAUAACUAACUCUAUGCAACGAACGAUACGGAAUGCAACCAUUUACCAAACUGAGAGAUGAUCCACAUUAUCCAAUAGACAACAUUGACAUUAGCAUGAUACUCUUUGUAUGGCGUACAAACUCAUGCUCAACAGUGUUUAGUUUACAUGCAUUCGGAUCACGUAUGCUUCGUAAUUACAUUACCCCGCGCGGUGUUUAUUGUUGUAUUAAGCUAAACGCACGGUGAGCGAAGAUUAACCAGAUCACCGGAAAGCAUGGUUGUAGUCAUGAAAGUGAAACUGUUUGUAGAUAAAGUAUGCCAACCAUUUUGAAGCUGCAAAUGAUAGUAUAGCUGCUGCAACGAGCGUAGUUCUUGCAGCCACUGAUAUGGCAGCCUGCUUGGUUGCAGCAACAAUUCCCACUACAGCAAAAGCGGCAAACUGCAAUACAACUUCGAGCACUUUCAGACCUUUGUAUCCGGCACUGCAACUGCUGCAGUUUACCACAUGGGACCAGUACCUGAAAAGGUUGUGCAAACACCCGUCGAUGAUGAUUCAACAAUAAGAGGACUUUUAAGUUUUAACACUCUCCAACUUAGUUCUUAUGGCCAUGACACAACCUGGCAAAGCAAAUGCUUGCAUUUCAACUAAUAAACCCAAAUUUUUCGAAUGUGUGCUGGAAAUUUCUAUAUCUUUUGCUGGCCUGAAGACUCGAAGAACAAACUGAGAGAUGCUUGAAGGUGUGUUAUAACAGAUCAGGUUUGUAAAAGUUGCAGGAACACCAAAUUUUAGCAUAUUUUCGAGACCGCUAUGAUCUACUUUGAUGCCAUCAGAAUUUCCCAUAUAAACUGUUCUAAUUUUCUGAAACUAAGUAAUCAAUUUGUUGUUUGAAUCCUGCUUCAUAACUAUGUGAAAGUUACCUGUCCAGCAACUGUUCUCUAGGAGGAGUGGGGGGAAGAGCCCCACUGAACUUGCCUCUCCAAUCUACCUGACCGCCAGCGUACUUGUUUAACCAUUUUCUGAAACCAACCACAAGGGCAUCUGACUUUGUUGGCACAAAA
This 4731-nucleotide long non-coding RNA is filed under the name Malus domestica (apple). RNAcentral's name for it is "long non-coding RNA (MDOM_LNC009811)". The record is from RNAcentral. Lineage: Eukaryota; Viridiplantae; Streptophyta; Magnoliopsida; Rosales; Rosaceae.